GAUGAACGCUGGCGGCGUGCCUAAUACAUGCAAGUCGAGCGAAGCGGGGACGGGUGAGUAACACGUGGAUAACAUCCUAUAUGACUGGGAUAACUUCGGGAAACCGGAGCCAAACUGGAUACUUAUACAUGAAUCGGCGCUGCAUUAGCUAGUUGGUAAGGGAACGGCUUACCAAGGCAACGAUGCAUAUCCGACCUGAGAGGGUGAUCGGCCACACUGGAACUGAGACACGGUCCAGACUCCUACGGGAGGCAGCAGUAGGGAAUCUUCCGCAAUGGGCGAAAGCCUGACGGAGCAACGCCGCGUGAGUGAUGAAGGUCUUCGGAUCGUAAAGCUCUGUUAUUAGGGAAGCGGUACCUAAUCAGAAAGCCCCGGCUAACUACGUGCCAGCCGCCGCGGUAAUAC
RNAcentral lists this ribosomal RNA (405 nucleotides) under uncultured bacterium. RNAcentral describes it as "partial 16S ribosomal RNA". It matches the Rfam family "Bacterial small subunit ribosomal RNA", at positions 28 to 526 of the family's 1533-position model. The record is from RNAcentral.